RNAcentral lists this long non-coding RNA (199 nucleotides) under Solanum tuberosum (potato). RNAcentral describes it as "long non-coding RNA (STUB_LNC001905)". Lineage: Eukaryota; Viridiplantae; Streptophyta; Magnoliopsida; Solanales; Solanaceae. The record is from RNAcentral.
AGAGUUUAUUUGUGGGUAAAUCGGGUGGGUUAAAUGGGUUAUGGGUGGAUUUUGAAAUUUGGGUUAAAAAAUUGGUCAAUUCAGGUUGUGGCGUAGGAUUGCGACACGUGUACACAAUGAGUGUUCCGUUAGUGGGAGGGGUAAAUGUGUACUGAUUAUUGGACGGCAAGGGCUCUAGUGGACGAAAAGUAUAACGGAG